AGGGAAGUUGGCAUCAACAAAUUAACGUUAAAAAUCAAAAUUAUCAAUACCAUUUACCAAUAAAACAUAACAACAGUAUGUCAAAAUGAUAAGAUGCUAGACUCCCAAAUCUGUACAAACUACUAAAAGCACAAAUCUGUCCAAUUUCUCAUUCUUUAGUUCAACUAUCUCCACCGUUUUUGCUGCCUUACAGUUCAGUUAGUUCUUGGAUGAACUCUUUUCAAGAAGAAGAUUGGGGAUUCCAUAUUAGUGUCUUUAGCGCUCCGUCUAAUCGAGUAAACCUUUAAAAAGUCAAUAUCAAACAAGUUCACAUACAUCAAUUGUCGAGGCCUUUAGAUACAAACAGAAAAGCAGAAAAAAACAUUAGAUAUACUCGUCAUGCAAUAAAUCAUAUCUCC
Molecule: long non-coding RNA, 398 nt
Filed under: Olea europaea subsp. europaea
Lineage: Eukaryota; Viridiplantae; Streptophyta; Magnoliopsida; Lamiales; Oleaceae
Source: RNAcentral